This 85-nucleotide transfer RNA is filed under the name Felis catus (domestic cat). It matches the Rfam family "tRNA". From Rfam's summary of the family: Transfer RNA (tRNA) molecules are approximately 80 nucleotides in length. Their secondary structure includes four short double-helical elements and three loops (D, anti-codon, and T loops). The record is from Rfam by way of RNAcentral. Lineage: Eukaryota; Metazoa; Chordata; Mammalia; Carnivora; Felidae.
GCCUGGGUGGCUCAGUCGGUUGAGCGUCCGACUUCAGCUCAGGUCAUGAUCUCGCAGUUCGUGAGUUCGAGCCCCGCGUCAGGCU